CCCACUGACAAACUUUGUAACAGGAAUAUGGUCUUACUUAAUUUAUACUAAACCUAGGUACAGUAAAAGUUAUUAUACAAUGUUGAAGUUUCUGUUGUGUCGGAUUCGUUAACCACUGCGCCACAACGGGAACUCCAGAAAAAAAUUUCUUUGCAAUGUUUAUUAGCCACUUAGAGGAGGGAGUUCCCUAGUGGCCUAAGGGUUAAGGAUUCGGCAUGGUCACUGCUAUGGCUCAGGUUCAAUCCCUGGCCUGGGAAUUUACACACACUGUGAGUAUGACCAAAAAAAGUAAGUAGGGAAGUUUUAGGAAGUAGUAAAAGGGUUGGUGGCUUCAGAUUUUUUCUGGAAACACUUCUGGUCCUGUAAAGACCAGAUUUGUAGGAAAAAGGUUUUUCCUCCUCAAAGUAAAAGGACUGACACACUCAUUCAACUAUGUGGGGAUAUUUUACAUUUCAUCAUUUAGCUUAGGGGCGAAGACCUCCCCUCAAAACUGUCAGUCUCCAAAUUUUAGCUGUAGUUAUUUUAGUUAGACGGGUGGCCUCCCAUUUUGGUUAAUCUUACGAACACUUUUGAGGAUCCUCCUUGAGUUGAAGAAAUUACCUGUUUUUCAGUUCAGCCUCUGAUCUAAAGAGGCCUGCCUAGAGCCUCACAGUGUUCCCAUUUCUAAAGGUAACCAUUUAGGGAGUUCCUGCUGUGGCUCAGCAGUAAUGAACCCGACUAGUAUCCAUGAGGACAUAGGUUCAAUCCCUGGCCUUGCUCCAGUGUUGCCAUGGCUGAAGUGUAGGCCGGCAGCUACAACUCCGAUUCAACACCUAGUCUGGGGACUUCCAUUGCCAUAGGUGUGGCCCUAAAAAGCAAAGAAUUUAAAAAAAUAAAGGUAACCAUUUAAUAGUGCCUUUCUUAGUGGGAAAGGCAGUUCAGAAGAUGACUAGAAUGAUUGCUCAUUAAUCAUAAGUCUUCUACAACAAAUUUUUGAAUGAGGCUAUUGGGGAUUUUGAAGUCUUUUGGGGUUUUCAGAUAGCACUUAAAAUUGGCACAAUAGUUUAAGAUGAAACCUCUCUAAAAUUUUUAAUAAUUUAGAUGUUUCUCCAAAGGAUCCAUGGGGCUAGCCCUACAAAUAUUUUUUACUGCUAAUCUAAUUUUAGAAAAAACACCUCUGCUUCCAGUAGAACCUGCGAAUACAGAUCUAGAAGACUGCUAUUUUAACUGCAUGCUAAAAAUUCAGUUUUGGAGUGUCGAAAGAACCUCAAUUUGGCCAUUUCAGGGCCCAAUUUCCUUUAGUUCUCAAAUACGUGCAAGCCUACAUAAACCCAGCUGGUAUUCCCAUAGGUGGCUAUUUGCAUGCGAGCUGUUUGGCCUUUCCCGGUAUUAAUUUUGUAGCUUAAUUCAGGUUGGGGAUAUGGGCUGAACCAUUUUCUGAGGACAGUGUGCUGGAUCACAUGUGUGCUGCUUCGGAGUCUAGGUCCCUAAGGAGUCACAUGGCUCGGUUUCUCCCAGUGACAGCCUAGAACCAU
RNAcentral lists this long non-coding RNA (1514 nucleotides) under Sus scrofa (pig). RNAcentral's name for it is "lncRNA (ENSSSCG00050004293.1)". Lineage: Eukaryota; Metazoa; Chordata; Mammalia; Artiodactyla; Suidae. The record is from RNAcentral.